This 290-nucleotide long non-coding RNA is filed under the name Elaeis guineensis (African oil palm). Its description in RNAcentral is "long non-coding RNA (EGUI_LNC053920)". The record is from RNAcentral. Lineage: Eukaryota; Viridiplantae; Streptophyta; Magnoliopsida; Arecales; Arecaceae.
CCUGCACCUUGAAUAUGUUCAUGAGUAUAGAAUCAUGUUAUACUCAAACACAUAUUCAUAUUAAUUCUCAAUUAACUAAAGAUGACUUGAUGAUGAAGGAUUAGAAACUUUUUCUAAUCUUCCUCCUGCUUUUGGCCAAAAUUUUUUUUUCGAGUCAUCUAGGAAUGAGAAUACACAGGAUGCGAUCUUCUCCUACUAGGAGUGAUCGAUUUCAUGUUGAUCGCUCAUAAUCUUGAUACAUACUCCACCAUAUCUAGAACACCCGUACCUGUCUUAAUGCCUUGCUUGGG